CAGUAGCCGCGGUAAAACGUAGGGUGCAAGCGUUAAUCGGAAUUACUGGGCGUAAAGCGUGCGCAGGCGGUUUGUUAAGACAGAUGUGAAAUCCCAGGGCUCAACCUGGGAACUGCAUUUGUGACUGGCAAGCUAGAGUGUGGCAGAGGGGGGUAGAAUUCCGCGUGUAGCAGUGAAAUGCGUAGAUAUGCGGAGGAACACCGAUGGCGAAGGCAGCCCCCUGGGCCAACACUGACGCUCAUGCACGAAAGCGUGGGGAGCAAACAGGAUUAGAUACCCCCGUAGUCCCUGUCUCUUAUAC
RNAcentral lists this ribosomal RNA (301 nucleotides) under uncultured bacterium. RNAcentral's name for it is "partial 16S ribosomal RNA". It matches the Rfam family "Bacterial small subunit ribosomal RNA", at positions 509 to 807 of the family's 1533-position model. The record is from RNAcentral.